RNAcentral lists this ribosomal RNA (460 nucleotides) under uncultured bacterium. RNAcentral's name for it is "partial 16S ribosomal RNA". It matches the Rfam family "Bacterial small subunit ribosomal RNA", at positions 338 to 795 of the family's 1533-position model. The record is from RNAcentral.
CCUACGGGCGGCAGCAGUGAGGAAUAUUGGUCAAUGGACGAGAGUCUGAACCAGCCAAGUAGCGUGAAGGAUGACUGCCCUAUGGGUUGUAAACUUCUUUUAUAUGGGAAUAAAAUGUUCCACGUGUGGGAUUUUGUAUGUACCAUAUGAAUAAGGAUCGGCUAACUCCGUGCCAGCAGCCGCGGUAAUACGGAGGAUCCGAGCGUUAUCCGGAUUUAUUGGGUUUAAAGGGAGCGUAGGUGGAUUGUUAAGUCAGUUGUGAAAGUUUGCGGCUCAACCGUAAAAUUGCAGUUGAAACUGGCAGUCGUGAGUACAGUAGAGGUGGGCGGAAUUCGUGGUGUAGCGGUGAAAUGCUUAGAUAUCACGAAGAACUCCGAUUGCGAAGGCAGCUCACUGGAUUGCAACUGACACUGAGGCUCGAAAGUGUGGGUAUCAAACAGGAUUAGAUACCCCAGUAGUC